This 74-nucleotide transfer RNA is filed under the name Armatimonadota bacterium. RNAcentral describes it as "Armatimonadetes bacterium (groundwater metagenome) tRNA-Gln". It matches the Rfam family "tRNA". From Rfam's summary of the family: Transfer RNA (tRNA) molecules are approximately 80 nucleotides in length. Their secondary structure includes four short double-helical elements and three loops (D, anti-codon, and T loops). Lineage: Bacteria; Bacillati; Armatimonadota. The record is from RNAcentral.
UCCGGGGUCGUCUAAAGGUAGGACGGCAGAUUUUGGAUCUGCUUAUCGAGGUUCGAAUCCUUGCCCCGGAGCCA